RNAcentral lists this ribosomal RNA (816 nucleotides) under Lumbricidae sp. Lu_86. RNAcentral describes it as "partial 16S ribosomal RNA". The stretch from base 1 to 520 matches the Rfam family "Bacterial large subunit ribosomal RNA", at positions 1907 to 2925 of the family's 2925-position model. The record is from RNAcentral. Lineage: Eukaryota; Metazoa; Annelida; Clitellata; Crassiclitellata; Lumbricidae.
GCCCAGUGAAGUAUAUUUCAACGGCCGCGGUAUCUUAACCGUGCAAAGGUAGCAUAAUCACUUGCCCAUUAAUUGUGGGCUAGAAUGAAAGGACUAACGAAAUAAAGACUGUCUCUAUAAGUUAAAUAAAAAUUAAUUUCUAACUGAAGAUUGUUAGAUUCCGUUGAAGGACAAGAAGACCCUAUAGAGCUUUAUUCUAAUAAACAUCUUAAAUUUUUAUAAAAUUCGGUUGGGGUGACCGGGGAAACUAAAUAUCAUCCCUAUAAAAAAGAUAAAUAAAUCUUAUACAUGACCCUUAAUAAAGAUCACCAAACUAAGCUACCUUAGGGAUAACAGGCUAAUCACACUAAAGAGUCCUUAUCAAUAGUGUGGUUUGGCACCUCGAUGUUGGCUUAGGGAAUCUAUAUGGCGUAAAAGUCAUAUAAAGAUGGUUUGUUCAACCAAUAAUACCCUACAUGAGCUGAGUUCAGACCGGCGUAAGCCAGGUUAGUUUCUAUCCUCAAUUACUCAAUCUAUUUAUAGUACGAAAGGACCUAAAUAUGAAUAAUAAUUAUACCCUGAGAAUACCUAUAAAGACUCAUUAAGCAUACUUACAUAUAAAUUAUAAGAUAGGUUGGCAGAAUAAUGCUACCGACUUAGAAUCGGCACAUGGAUAUAAUCCACUUAUCAAAUUGCAACUUAGUUCAACUAGAACAAUCAACUUGCACUUGAUAAGAGAGUAACCUCAGUAGCGGCUUAAAGUUUUGGAAACACUGGAUCUUGAAAGUCCACUUAAGAUGUUCGACUCAUCUUUAAGUCUAUCAAGAUGGCAGAAUA